This 2580-nucleotide ribosomal RNA is filed under the name human gut metagenome. RNAcentral describes it as "bacterial LSU rRNA". It matches the Rfam family "Bacterial large subunit ribosomal RNA", at positions 14 to 2454 of the family's 2925-position model. The record is from RNAcentral.
AGGGCGUAUGGUGGAUGCCUUGGCAGACAGGACCGAUGAAGGACGUUUGAGGCUGCGAUAUGCCUCGGGGAGCCGCCAACAGGGCUUUGAUCCGAGGAUUUCCGAAUGGGGGAACCCACCGACCGUCAUGGGUCGGUACCGGCUUCGGCCGGGGGGUACGCAGGGAAGUGAAACAUCUCAGUACCUGCAGGAAAGGAUAUUCCGUGAGUAGUGGCGAGCGAAAGCGGAUGAUGGCCAAACCUUGCGCGUGUGAUACCCGUCGGGGGUUGCGCGCGGGGUGUUGCGGGAUCGCGUGCGCCGGCUCCGACGGGCCGGCCGGCAGUUGCAGAAAACCAUGUGUCAGGGGAACCGGGUUGAAUACCGGGCCGCAGAGGGUGAGGGCCCCGUACCUGAACGCGCAUGGUCUGCCGAUCGCGUCUCCCAAGUAGCACGGGUCCCGUGGAACCCCGUGCGAAUCCGCCCAGACCGUUGGGUAAGCCUGAAUAUUCCUGUCUGACCGAUAGCGAACGAGUACCGUGAGGGAAAGGUGAAAAGUACCCCGGGAGGGGAGUGAAACAGUCUCUGAAACCGUGCGCCUACAAUCCGUCGGAGCCCUUUUGUGGGGUGACGGCGUGCCUAUCGAAAAAUGAGUCUGCGAGUCAGUGGCAUGUGGCGAGCAUAACCCGUGUGGGGUAUGCGUAGCGAAGGCGAGUCUUAAAAGGCGUUUGAGUCGCGUGUCCUGGACCCGAAGCGGGAUGAUCUAGCCCUGAGCAGGUUGAAGCGCGGGUAAGACCGCGUGGAGGACCGAACCCACCUGGGUUGAAAACCGGGGGGAUGACUUGGGGCUAGGGGUGAAAGGCCAAUCAAAUUCCGUGAUAGCUGGUUCUCUCCGAAAUGCAUUUGGGUGCAGCGUCGGGUCAUUACGUCCCGGGGGUAGAGCUACUGGAUGCUUGCGGGCCCGUAUCGGGUACCAACAGCAACCAAACUCCGAAUACCGGUGACGCGUAUCCCGGCAGUGAGUCGGCGGGGGAUAAGCUUCGUCGUCGAAAGGGAAACAGCCCAGACCGUCGUCUAAGGUCCCGAAGCGUGUGCUAAGUGGGAAAGGAUGUGGAGUCGCAUAGACAGCCAGGAGGUUGGCUCAGAAGCAGCCACCCUUGAAAGAGUGCGUAACAGCUCACUGGUCUAGUGGUUCCGCGCCGACAAUGUAGCGGGGCUCAAGCACACCACCGAAGACGCGGCAGUAUUUUGUACUGGGUAGGAGAGCGUCCCAUGAGGGGCGAAGCGGCCGUGUGAACGCGCCGUGGACUUCAUGGGAGUGAGAAUGCAGACAUGAGUAGCGAGAGACGGGUGAAGAUCCCGUCCGCUGGAUGACCAAGGGUUCCAGGGCCACGUUCAUCGUCCCUGGGUGAGUCGGGUCCUAAGGCGAGGCCGACAGGCGUAGUCGAAUGGAUGAACGGGUCGAUAUUCCCGUACCGGCUUUCAGCCGCCAAAACCGAGGCUUGGAGUACUAACCUCCGGGUCCGGGCUUACUGCUCCUUCGGGGGCGGGAUGCCCUGGCCUGUUGGGACCGAUCCUUGUAGUAGGUCAGCGCAGGAGUGACGCAGAAGGGUAGCCGGCCGCGGAGGUGGUCUUCCGUGGUCAAGCACGCAGGGCGUGGGACAGGCAAAUCCGUCCCGCAUGGGUCCGAGGUGCGAUGAUGGGGGCCUUAUGGCCCGAUAUCCGGUGAUCCCGGCUGCCGAGAAAAGCUUCGGCGUCAGGCUCAAAGCCGCCCGUACCCCAAACCGACACUGGUGGUCAGGUAGAGAAUACCAAAGCGAUCGAGCGAAUCCUGGUCAAGGAACUCGGCAAAUCACUCCCGUUCCUUCGGUUUAAGGGAGACCCCCGAUGGUGAACACACUUGCUGUGGGAGCUUUUGGGGGUGGCACAGACCAGGGGGUAGCGACUGUUUACCAAAAACACAGGUGCAUGCGAAGGCGCAAGCCGCUGUAUAUGCACUGACGCCUGCCCGGUGCCGGAAGGUUAAGAGGAUCCGUCAGCCUUCGGGUGAAGCGGUGAAUUCAAGCCCCGGUAAACGGCGGUGGUAACUAUAACCAUCCUAAGGUAGCGAAAUUCCUUGUCGGGUAAGUUCCGACCUGCACGAAUGGCGUAACGACUUCCCCACUGUCUCGACCAGGAGCUCGGCGAAAUUGCAGUACGAGUAAAGAUGCUCGUUAAGCGCAGAAGGACGAAAAGACCCCGGGACCUUUACUAUACCUUGGUAUUGGCAUUCGGUGUGGAUUGUGUAGCAUAGGCGGGAGGCCGAGAGGCGCGGUCGCCAGAUCGCGCGGAGCCGUAAGGUGAAAUACCGCUCUGUUCGCAUUGGAUGUCUAACCUCGAACAGUCAUCCUGUUCAGGGACAGUGCCUGGCGGGUAGUUUAACUGGGGCGGUUGCCUCCCAAAGAGUAACGGAGGCGCCCAAAGGUCUCUUCAGCAUGGUCGGAAAUCAUGCAUUAGAGUGCAAAGGCAUAAAGAGGCUUGACUGCGAGAGAGACAUUUCGAGCAGGUACGAAAGUAGGGCUUAGUGAUCCGGCGGUAUGAGAGUGGAAUUGCCGUCGCUCAACG